GUCUCGGAUAGCUUAAUUCGUAGAACCUUUGGCGCGUAACCAAACGAUUCGGGUUCGAGUCCCGUUCUGGGCU
This 73-nucleotide transfer RNA is filed under the name Cotesia glomerata. RNAcentral describes it as "tRNA-Thr". The record is from RNAcentral. Lineage: Eukaryota; Metazoa; Arthropoda; Insecta; Hymenoptera; Braconidae.